GAUGAACGCUGGCGGCGUGCCUAAUACAUGCAAGUCGAGCGAACAGACGAGGAUCUUGCUCCUCUGACGUUAGCGGCGGACGGGUGAGUAACACGUGGAUAACCUACCUAUAAGACUUGGAUAACUUCGGGAAACCGGAGCUAAUACCGGAUAAUAUAUUGAACCGCAUGGUUCAAUAGUGAAAGACGGCUUUGCUGUCACUUAUAUAUGGAUACGCGCCGCAUUAGCUAGUUGGUCACGUAACGGCUUACCAAGGCAACGAUGAUUAGCCGACCUGAGAGGGUGAUCGGCCACACUGGAGCGGAGACACGGUCCAGACUCCUACGGGAUGCAGCAGUAGCGAAUCUUCCGCGAUGGGCGAAAGCUUGACGGAGCAACGCCGCGUGAGUGAUGAAGGUCUUCGGAUCGUAAAACUCUGUUAUUAGGGAAGAAAAAAUGUGUAAGUAACUAUGCACGUCUUGACGGUACCUAAUCAGAAAGCCACGGCUAACUACGUG
RNAcentral lists this ribosomal RNA (497 nucleotides) under uncultured bacterium. RNAcentral's name for it is "partial 16S ribosomal RNA". It matches the Rfam family "Bacterial small subunit ribosomal RNA", at positions 28 to 507 of the family's 1533-position model. The record is from RNAcentral.